UUCCAGGCAGCAGCCUUGGAAUGCUCCACUGUCUACUGUCGAGGGGUGAGGCUGGUGAGUCACUGGGCUGUCUGCUGGAUGCCGGCCUCAGCUGACCCUGUACUCUGUUUCUCCCAAAGCUGCGGGGCCUCCCGUGUCUGCCCGUGUCUGUUCUGACUCCAGAUCAUCAGAUUCUCCCUACUUCCCUGUGUAGCCAGCAAGGCAGACAUGAAUGUGCCUGUUUUACGGAUGGGAAUACUGAGGCCUAGAGGGCUGGUGUGCAGCAGAGCCAGAUGAGUUCCUGGAAAUCCUCCAGUUAGUUCCCAAUAAGGCUGCACGGAGGACCCCCUUGACCGUGGCAAUGGAAGGGGGCCCAGCGGUCUGCUGCCAGGAUCCCCGGGCAGAGCUGGUGGAGCGAGUGGCAGCCAUCGAUGUGGCCCGCUUGGAGGAGGCAGAUGGUGGCCCGGGGCCUGCCAGGAACGGCGUGGAACCCCCACCGCGGGCCAGAGCUGCCUCCAUGAUCCCCGGCAGUGCUUCAGGACUCCCCCUACCCCGACCCAGCCUCUCCACCAGGAAGCUGUCCCUGCAGGAGCGGCCAGCUGGAAGCUGCCUGGAGGCCCAGGCUGGGCCUUACACCACGGGGCCUGCCAGCCACAUCUCCCCCCGUGCCUGGAGGAGGCCCACCAUCGAGUCCCACCGCGUGGCCAUCUCGGAUGCAGAGGACUGUGUGCAGUUGAACCAGUACAAGCUGCAGAGUGAGAUUGGCAAGGGUGCCUACGGCGUGGUGCGGCUGGCCUAUAACGAGAGUGAAGACAGGCACUAUGCAAUGAAAGUCCUUUCCAAAAAGAAGUUACUGAAGCAGUAUGGCUUUCCACGUCGCCCUCCCCCGAGAGGGUCCCAGGCUGCCCAGGGAGGACCAGCCAAGCAGCUGCUGCCCCUGGACCGGGUGUACCAGGAGAUCGCCAUCCUGAAGAAGCUGGACCACGUGAAUGUGGUGAAGCUGAUCGAGGUCCUGGAUGACCCAGCUGAGGACAAUCUCUAUUUGGUGUUUGACCUCCUGAGAAAGGGGCCGGUCAUGGAGGUGCCCUGCGACAAGCCCUUCCCGGAGGAGCAAGCUCGCCUCUACCUGAGGGACAUCAUCCUGGGCCUUGAGUACCUGCACUGCCAGAAGAUUGUCCACAGGGACAUCAAGCCAUCCAACCUGCUCCUGGGGGACGACGGGCACGUGAAGAUCGCCGACUUCGGCGUCAGCAACCAGUUUGAGGGGAACGACGCCCAGCUGUCCAGCACGGCCGGCACCCCGGCGUUCAUGGCCCCCGAGGCCAUCUCCGAUACCGGCCAGAGCUUCAGUGGGAAGGCCUUGGAUGUGUGGGCCACGGGGGUCACGCUGUACUGCUUUGUCUAUGGGAAGUGCCCGUUCAUCGAUGACUACAUCCUGGCCCUGCACAGGAAGAUCAAGAAUGAGGACGUGGUGUUUCCUGAGGAGCCAAAGGUCAGCGAGGAGCUCAAGGACCUGAUCCUGAAGAUGCUAGACAAGAAUCCCGAAAGGAGAAUUGGGGUGCCAGACAUCAAGCUGCACCCGUGGGUGACCAGGAACGGGGAGGAGCCCCUUCCCUCAGAGGAGGAGCACUGCAGCGUGGUGGAGGUGACCGAGGAGGAGGUGAAGAACUCCGUCAAGCUCAUCCCCAGCUGGACCACAGUGCACGGCCCACCUAGCAGCUGCCCCCCAGGGAGUCCGAGCAGAGGCUGCCAGUGGGCCUGGUGCUUGGGGGCCUGUGUUCCUCAUGCUGACGGACCUGCCCUCCUAGAUCCUGGUGAAGUCUAUGCUGAGAAAGCGUUCCUUUGGGAACCCGUUUGAGCCCCAAGCACGGAAGGAAGAGCGCUCCAUGUCUGUCCCAGGAAACUUACUGCUGAAAGACGGGUGUGGUGAAGGCAUCAAGAGCCCGGAGCUCCCUGGUGUCCAAGAAGACGAGGCUGCGUCCUGAGCCCCUGCAUGCGCCCAGGGCCACCCAGCAACACGCUCAUCCUGCGCCUCCAAAGGCCCCUGCACUCAUGUCGACAGCUGCCCCUGCGGGCAGGGGGCUGGGGACUGUGGACCCUCUCCUGGCUCCCCUCCCCCCGUCAUGCUGCAUGACCUCUGCGCGUGUCCGAGACAGGAUUGGAAUGUGUGUCAUCUGGGGUUUGGUGGGCAGGGCUCCCUCGAGCCUUUCUCCUCGUCUUGGCUCUCCCCGUGGAACCCACAUUGUGGGGAAGGUAGGUACGCUCGGUGCCUUAGGAACCCCACAUGGCUCGUCGGCAAGGCCCAGAGGCAGGAGGCAAGAAACCGAGAUGGCAGGAGGAGGCCUGGCUUACCACCACUGCAGAGACCUCCCACCGGGGCUGGGCAGGCCGAGCUCAGCUGCCACGCACAUGGAGGGGUGUACCCUGCCACCUCGGGGGGCGCUGCCAGAGCUUGAGUCUGCUGAGAACACUGGUAUGGAGUCUCUGAGUCUUCGAUGGGUGUUCCGGGGCCUCACUGGGGCAGGGGCCAGUAUUGGAGAAUUCAGAUUCUCGUUCUGUUGUCUUUUACUUUUGUUUUUUACAUGGGGGCAAGGGGCUAUAAAGACCUGCUUGGGAACAGCACAUGACCUCUCCAAAGCUGUGGGCGGUUCCUAGUGCACCCCACCCUUACGUGCAGCCAGUUGAGCUGAACUGACCUUGCCGGAUUGUGUUCCACACCCAGCACUAGCCAGAGAAAGGGCUGAAUUCAACUCUCAGCAGAGACCUGAGCCAGGAGCACCACGUCUUCCCUGCCCGCAUCACUCCCUCUGUGGCUCCUCAGAGCAUGGCGGCAGGAGAGGCACCAGGGGCCGACAUGGCCUGAGAGCCCUGGACUCACAGGGCCGUGGCCUUGCAGAUGCUGAAGUAACUGGAACCCAGUCUCCAAUCCUACACCGGCCUCCCCAUCUGGCCCCAGAAGCUGCCCUCACAUUCCUACGCUGAAGGACAAACUGCCCACGGUGAAGGCCGCCCUAGAGUGGGGCCUUGGUGGGGCGUGCAUGCUGGCAGGCGGCCAUGGAGCGGCAGGCCUUCCGCCACUGCCUCACCCCAGGCCAGUCCCCAUCCAGCCUGCCCCGAGCUGGAGGGCUGGACUGUGUGUGUUGACCGGCCAGGCUGGGGCAGACAUCUCUCUGGGACUCUGAUGGCGUGGUGUUCGCUGACCAAAUGCUCAAGAGAUUGGCCUCCAAAGGACAGCAAAGCAGGACUCAUCAGAUACCUCCCCUGGAAACGUGGGCCAAACAAGCGGGUACAGUGGCGGGCGUGGGUUUCAUCUCGCAAGAGGACUUGUGCCGAGAAGGAAGGCAGGCCGGGCCGGAGGAGGGUCCCCCCUGCGCAUCUCCGUGCCUGUGGGUGUCCGUCGCGCCUCCCCACACACGCAUGUGCGUGCCCAUCCGCUGCACAGCACACUCGCAUGUCUUGCACUGGCACAUGCAUCUGUAAUAUAGUUUCUAUGUCUAUUUAAGACUGUGAGCAGCACGUGGCCCGUCAUCAUUGGGUCCAUGUUUCUCCCUGGCUCCUCUCCGCUAAAGCAUUGUAACCAGGGCUUAGGAAACAGCUCGGCACUGUUUUUAAGAACACUGUCAUAGAGUUCGUGGGAGGUGGUCACCGACCCGCAAGCUUUUGUUGAGCAUCUCUGCGCUGGGGCCUGGCGGGUGGGGCCUCCAGGGGGCGACGUCCAUCGGACUUGCCCUCGCAGAGCUGCAAGGUGAGCCUGGCUUCGUUGGCCAGGUCACAGCCUGGAUGGCGUGCUGACCCCGCCGCCGUGGGUUUGGGUUGGCAUCGUUUUUGAACGUAGCACACGUGAUGAGUAAACUCCAUAAGAGUGUUUUAAAAAUUAACUUCUCAGGAAGUGAGUUAAAAACAUUAAAAGCCCUUUCUUGAGUUAAAACAA
Myotis daubentonii (Daubenton's bat) is the source of this 3910-nucleotide RNA transcript. It is a transcript of the gene named calcium/calmodulin dependent protein kinase kinase 1, with no coding region annotated. The record is from RefSeq and is a predicted model, not a curated record. The transcript is spliced from 16 exons. NCBI's taxonomy places the organism in Eukaryota, Metazoa, Chordata, Mammalia, Chiroptera, Vespertilionidae.